Molecule: unclassified non-coding RNA, 234 nt
Filed under: Glomeraceae sp.
Lineage: Eukaryota; Fungi; Glomeromycota; Glomeromycetes; Glomerales; Glomeraceae
Description: partial contains 5.8S ribosomal RNA and internal transcribed spacer 2
Rfam family: 5.8S ribosomal RNA (bases 1-71)
Source: RNAcentral
GUGAAUCAUCAAAUCUUUGAACGCAAAUUGCACUCUCUGGUAUUCCGGAGAGUAUGCCUGUUUGAGGGUCAGUUUAAAUAAAAAUCGGUGUGGUUGCUGCCUUUCGUGGUGACGCACCGGAUUUGGGUCGUCUUGCCUUCGGUUAAGUGACCUAAAAUUUUGCAUGAUUUUUUUCGAACGUAUUUAAAUGAUUUACGUACGUUUGCGAUUUUGAAUUCCUGGGGUUGUUAUUCU